Triticum urartu is the source of this 2035-nucleotide long non-coding RNA. RefSeq lists it as uncharacterized. The record is from RefSeq and is a predicted model, not a curated record. NCBI's taxonomy places the organism in Eukaryota, Viridiplantae, Streptophyta, Magnoliopsida, Poales, Poaceae.
ACGCUGAACAGCCCCUCCUUCGCUCAAUCUUUACCGUCCUCGCGGUCAAAAAAAAAUAUUUCCCAUCCUUCUGUCGAUCGUCCCUGUCUCUUCUCUUCUAGGGUUCACCACCUCUGCCGCCCCUGACGCUACUCCUUCGAUGCUGCCCCUCCCUCUGCCUGCCUCCUCUCUCUCUCUCUCUCUCUCUCUCUCUCUCUCUCUCCGUCAAUCCAUCCAAGUCGAACCACACCCGUCGGGUCCCAUGCUCCCAUGGGAGAUCGAGCGCAUGUAGCCAACCGAUGAGCCACCUUGUUUUCCGGCGGCACCUCGCUGCGGCCGCGGCCAUCCGGCGAUCCCCUGCUGCGUUCACUUCCAUGUGACCCACCUCUCUGGAGCGCUCCAUGUUUUUGGUCGUGAUCCGGUUUCGUCCAAUGCUUAUCAUCGCGGGGGGAGCAGUCCGUGGAAAUUUGAUGCCGUUUUCUUAUGCAGGAGCUCGAAGCACCUGCUCCCGGGCCGCCAUUUUAGACACGGUCUGGGCUGGUAGCUGUCAGGGUUCCGAGGGGAUCCUGACAUUGAUUUGCACUGCUCGGUUACUCACAGUUUUAGGUGAUGUGCAGGUUGCUGCACACGCCGGAAUUUGCUAUGGUGUCUCCCAAGGAGAUCUUUGGUUCAAGCCCAGGGGAAGUGCAGAAAUUCGGUAAGAUGACCGCCAUUUUGUGGAUAUGUUUGUAUGCAUUCUUUUAAAUUGGUCCUGCUUGCUAGCUUUGUCAUGGGCACGCUUCAUAACUGUCUCUGUCCAUGGGGUUACUGAUUACUGAUUGUGAUGUUUAAGCAUGAUACACAGGAAUAUUAUUAUCUUUAUGGUGAAGGUGGAUAGAAAUAAUUUUACUUGAGAAGGAGCUCUCCAUUGCAUCUGAUGUGUACUAUCAGUAUCAGACUUCAUUCUCUGAACUUCCUAUUGGGCAAAAUGGACAAGAUGUGUUUGGUCAGUCGUGCUUUGUUUUUUUAGGCUAUGGCUAUGAUAACUUGAUGACACCCCUUUGUAGUACAGAGCAAUCUCAUGUGUUUGUCCUCCAGCUUCAAGAACAUUGAUUAAUGUACAAUGGCCAAGCAAUUAUUUAAAAAAUACAAAACCUGAAAUUGAAUUGCUAAAACAUGGAAUUAUUCUUCUUCUUGGUAGGUUAAUGUAUGACUAUCAGGUUCCCCACCAAGUGAAAUGUGCUAUUUCACCACAGACGUUGACAAAGUUAAGUUCAGUGCAGGGAAAAUGGAUAGUCUGCUAACUGGAACUCUGGAUAGUUGAUCCUUUGAAUGGCGAAAAAUUUAUCAAAGUUGCUGAGGUUCGGGGAUCUGAAAUAAAGGUGAUUCUCGAGGGGAACAAGUCGCCAUGGACUGGCGAGAUCGAGAGAGGCUCCGCGGUUGCGAGGAACGCCGGCUGAGAGGAGUGGCAACAACAACCCGUUGGCCGUGAUGGCCCGAGCAUUUGUGAGAGGGGAUAGAGCGGCGGUUGCGCAACUACCUCGUGCCGACAAGUUGCGAGAGUGGAUGGAGUAGCGGCUGCAUGGGGGCGCUCCUGGAGGUGUCAGUAUGCACCCUAAUUUUGAGCCUGGGAGGAUCCUCGCUCUGCCCAAGCCUCAAGGGUGUCCAUCUACUUUGGUGUCGUUUUCUGGAGUCAAGAUGAUGCACUAAUGCAGCAAGAAUGUAUAGAUCUCCAGAGCUCUAUGGAUCCUUCUCUUCACAAAAGGGCGUGGACGGCGAGAAGCGGAGGCACAUGCCUAGCGUAGCGGACCAUGAUGGAUUGAUGAGCUGAUGUCACGUGGCGGCUGGUUAUGCCCCAGCGGCUGGAGCCAUCAUCGACCAUGCUACAAAAUACAAUAUAUAUGUUUUUCAAAAAGAGCUCAAAAUACAACCGACUUUUCCUUGUUUAAAUUUUACUGGUAUUGUCGUGUGUGUAUUAGCUCUGAAGUAUGUUCUCAAAGAAUAUGUAAUAUUUUUCGUGUUGUAUCCAUUUGUGGAGAGUUUAUCUAAAUGCCCAACGCAUGGACUUCACAACCCC